RNAcentral lists this ribosomal RNA (301 nucleotides) under uncultured bacterium. RNAcentral describes it as "partial 16S ribosomal RNA". It matches the Rfam family "Bacterial small subunit ribosomal RNA", at positions 509 to 807 of the family's 1533-position model. The record is from RNAcentral.
CAGUCGCCGCGGUAAUACGUAGGUGGCAAGCGUUGUCCGGAAUUAUUGGGCGUAAAGGGCUCGCAGGCGGUUUCUUAAGUCUGAUGUGAAAGCCCCCGGCUCAACCGGGGAGGGUCAUUGGAAACUGGGAAACUUGAGUGCAGAAGAGGAGAGUGGAAUUCCACGUGUAGCGGUGAAAUGCGUAGAGAUGUGGAGGAACACCAGUGGCGAAGGCGACUCUCUGGUCUGUAACUGACGCUGAGGAGCGAAAGCGUGGGGAGCGAACAGGAUUAGAUACCCCCGUAGUCCCUGUCUCUUAUAC